GACGAACCGUGCGAACGUUGUUCGGAUUUACUGGGCGUAAAGGGCUCGUAGGUGGCCAACUAAGUCAGACGUGAAAUCCCUCGGCUUAACCGGGGAACUGCGUCUGAUACUGGAUGGCUUGAGUUCGGGAGAGGGAUGCGGAAUUCCAGGUGUAGCGGUGAAAUGCGUAGAUAUCUGGAGGAACACCGGUGGCGAAGGCGGCAUCCUGGACCGAUACUGACACUGAGGAGCGAAAGCCAGGGGAGCAAACGGG
Molecule: ribosomal RNA, 253 nt
Filed under: uncultured bacterium
Lineage: Bacteria
Description: partial 16S ribosomal RNA
Rfam family: Bacterial small subunit ribosomal RNA
Source: RNAcentral